GGUGGCUCAGUGGUAGAGUGCUUGCCUUGCAUGCAUGAAGGCCUGGGUUUCAUUCCCCGCACCA
This 64-nucleotide transfer RNA is filed under the name Dipodomys ordii (Ord's kangaroo rat). It matches the Rfam family "tRNA". Rfam says of the family: Transfer RNA (tRNA) molecules are approximately 80 nucleotides in length. The record is from Rfam by way of RNAcentral. Lineage: Eukaryota; Metazoa; Chordata; Mammalia; Rodentia; Heteromyidae.